ACAAUCAAAGUUCCUAUAUUAUAGCUACUUUCUUAUAUACAGCUAAAAAUAUAUUUGAAGUCUGUAGUGGAAAAGCGUCUGGUUGAAAGAGAGUGUGAUGUUUCCCAGCACAAAAAGAACGUGCAUAGGGAAUUGUGGGAUGUUAUGAUGGCCAUGUUAAUGUUAGAGUGGGUGUAUAGGUAUUUUAUUUAUAUGACAGAGUGAGAUAGUGCCAUUUAACGAAAACGAAAGAUGACUAAGAUGUCAAGUUGUGACAACUUAAGAAUUGGUAUAAUAAGCUCUUGUGAAAUAUUGGUGGAUAGAGGGUGUGUUCGGUUAGACCAUAUGAUCGACAGGUAUAGGUAUAUAUCAUGAAUGUAUUUAGAUUUUAUAUUGUGUAGAUGGAUUGUAUUGUUGUUGAUUUUGAAUUCUUUGGUGAGAUGAAUGUUGUUUAUAUGUGUAGUAAUGAAACAUUUAUAGAAUUUUAAUUUGGGGCAAUUCAGAAAUAAAUGAUGGUAAGAUUCAGUUGCUCGGUUACAAU
Patella vulgata (common limpet) is the source of this 520-nucleotide long non-coding RNA. RefSeq lists it as uncharacterized. The transcript has 3 exons. The record is from RefSeq and is a predicted model, not a curated record. Lineage: Eukaryota; Metazoa; Mollusca; Gastropoda; Patellidae.